Trametes elegans is the source of this 113-nucleotide non-coding RNA. NCBI's taxonomy places the organism in Eukaryota, Fungi, Basidiomycota, Agaricomycetes, Polyporales, Polyporaceae. The record is from the annotation of a GenBank genome assembly.
CCUUCGAUAGCUCAGUUGGAAGAGCGUGAGACUGUAACUGGUUACAUCAGUGGGGUCUAAUCCCUACGUCUCAGCGCAUCUCAAGGUCACUGGUUCGAUCCCGGUUCGAAGGA